GUGGUGGAGGUGAAACAGGGUACAUAUGGCAUGGCAGCCACUACACCACCAUAACAAGAACAGAAGCUAAAAGCAACUUUAGCUACUCUCAACUAAAUGAAAAUUGCAGCAGGUGCUGUUUGGUUAGCUGCUUUCGUUGCCACGUGUCCCCAAUGCAACACAAAACUGAUACACUUGUAGAUCUAAUGGUCUCGCUCGGUACAAUGGAUGGGAUCAGAAUGGACAAACAACUGUUUAUCAAGAUAUGCUGAAAGAAGAAAUGAAAUUUUUUGAACCAACUUGAAGAUAGUAGAUGAAUUAUUCAAGAAAAUCAAAUUGAAAUGGAAGGAUCCAUUUCAAUUCUCCUCAAAAUGGGAGGACGAGGGAGAAGUUCUUAAUGCAUGUUUAAUCCUUUUCCAAUCGCUUCAAAGUACCUCAAAUUUCGAAAGUUAUUCAUUUUAAUUUAAUUAUUUAUAUCAAGCAAGACCAAUAUUUUUUAAUACAGAUGAGCUUUACAUAUUAUAAAUCGCUACUUUUAUAAAUUAAUGUGUCAGUAAGUUAGUUUUGUGUGUUGAAUAAUUUUAUUCUCUAUUAUCGCAUUGUUUUAGUUUGCAAGGAAAACUUACCUACUCAAUACUUCAAUUUGAUCGUCACGCAUAUUUUUUACAAAACAGUGCUUGAUUAAUAUGAUUUACAAUAAUCCCGUGGCAUGAAAGUCUUCUACACUACGUCACUUUUCCGUGAAUCAGUUGGAGGGUGAUUCAUGUGCAUGUAAUAAUCAGUUGAAGGGCGGUGGUGGGAAUUAUAAUGAUCUGUCCUUCUAGUGCUUUUUUGUUGGUAAAAUAUAUUUAUACCAUAUGCCGACCUCAGAACCACAUUAACUAAUCCGAGUUAUUCAAUUCAGAGUAAUGUUACAUUAUCACAUUUUUUUGUAUUAUAUUCGUGUCAUCUCUUUACGAGAAGUUUUCGUGUUUUGAGAAAUGGCCUGUACACUAAGUGUAUAAUACAAAUGGUUAGAUAUUUGAAAUAAAAAUUUUAACCACUUGUAUUGCAACACUUGGUUACCAAACCAUAUUCAUGGUACAUUGAAAAAUUUCUCUAAUCGAAACAAAACCUACCAAUGCAUGUAGGUCCCUUCUCUAUUACGUAUAGUAAAAAUAUCAUUUUUGUUAAAACAUGUGAAUAGGUCAUGUCAUCAUGGAAGUGCAAGUGCAAUUGUGCAUAUCCAUCAAACUCCAUUAUAAAUACCCACUCACCCGCAUGCAAAAAAAACCUAACUCACACAUACUACCUUUCACACAACCUAACCGAAAAUGCUGUUCAAUACUUUUCACUUCACGCUCUUCCUUCUUCUUUUGAUCGCUGCCGCUUCUUAUUCUAGGGAAAUCUCCUCAAGGAAGAACGAGGAGACCCCAAGCAGCGGUAGUGGUUCAGCCUUCGGGCCGAACUGGGGCUAUAAUUGGGGGUGGAGUACGACCCCGGAUGGCGGAUCGGGUUAUGGGUCAGGAUCCGGGAGGUCGCCAACUGGGUUUGGAAGGGGGUACGGUUUUGGGUUUGGUUCUGGGGGUGGACAUGGCUCUGGGUCAGGCUACGGGUCUGGGAGUGGUGGAGCUCAAGGCGGCGGCUAUGGGUCUGGGGGUAGUGGAGCUCAUGGUGGCAGCUAUGGGUCUGGGGGUGGUUAUGGAAAUUCAGGAGGUGAAGGUGGUGGUGGAGGUUGAGGUUGAGGAAGAAACAAGCACGGCUGAUAAGAUAUUGGCCGAGAGUUUAGGGUUUCAUGAGCCCCAGAGGCCAGUGUGUAGUGUGUACUAUGAUAACCAUAUUAUAACUAGCUAGAUAUACAUGUGUGUAAGCUUUUCAAUAAAUAAUCACAAGACUUUGACAAAGAAUAUAAGUAUUGCUAGUAUAUUUAUAUUUUCGAGUGGCAGUUCAUAGUUUGUUGAGUUGCCAAUUCUCUGGCUUAUGUUUGUGAAAUGAUCACUUUUUGUCUACUAAUAUUUCUCUUUAGACCAUCUGCAAUAGCUGGGCUAAAAGCCAAAUAUAUUAACCUGGAAAAUUUAUUUUUUAGCUCAUAAACAGUUUUUCUGCUCCAACCGUUCUAGCCUAAAAUUUUAGCCUGAAAUUAUUAAAGAAUGAAUUUAGGCUAUUUUUUUUGUUAAAUUAAUUUAAAAAAAUAAAAAUAAAUAUGUAGACUAUCGUAAAUUAAUUUUAUGAAUAUUUUAAUCUAAAAAAAUUUAAAUUCCGAUAAUUAUUGAAAAAUCACUCAAUUUUCCACAAAGAAAGCCUUCAACUUUCACCAAUCUUUCAACCCUAGGUGAAUUUUGAGUUAAAUAAUUUUUUUUAAUUAUUUUAGCCGUUGGAUUUAAAUUUGGGCCGUUAGAUCUUCUUUUUUUACCGUUAGAUUUGAUUAAAUUCGAUCUCAGUCGUUGGAUUCAAUAAUAUAUAAAUAUAAAAACAAAAAAAAUUGAAUCUAGGCCAUUGGAUUAACCAACGGCCUGUAGAUCGUGAUCGUUGGAUGGAAGUAGCCGUUGGAGGCGCUGCGGAACGUGGCCGACAGGCCCACGUGGGCAGGGCCCUAGCUGUUUGAGGCGUCGUGCGUUGCGCUAGUUGGGCGAGUGGGUGGGCUGCGUUUGGUGCACAAACGCCCCUUUUCACUCGGUUCGAUGGAGCCCACUCCGAUUUCUGGGCUAAGUUUUGGAGGGAAUCUGGUCUUGGUUUAGCAUUUAGCAUUUAGCCCAAAUUUUCCCCUUGGGUUGGAUUGGGUUUGUGGGGAAAUUUUUGGAGGUAAUUUGAUUUUUAGCCCACCAUUGGAGUUGGUCUUAAAAUACUAAAAGAAAGUUUCACAUUUGACUAACCCUUUUUUCAUAUACUUCGUCUAAUUUUGUUGUAGCUAUUUGGGUUAUAUCACUAAUUGCUUUUGGUCGAUAUACUUAUAUUUUUCUUCUCAGAAUUGAAAGAAACCUUCAAGUUUGGAUCAACGACGCUUUUGGUAAACUUUUUUGUAAAAAUACUUUUGAAAAAAAAAAAACCGUAUUAUAGUGUUUGGUAAACUUUUAUUUAAAACAGAUGUGAAAAAAAACCGGUUUUUCAAAGCUGGGUUUUGCAGCUUCUUGUUUUUGGUUUUUUUUCACCCAAAACUGUGAAAAAAGCUGAAGCUGAAUGUUUACCAAAUACAAAAAAUCUCUCAGCUUUUUUUUUAUACCAGUUUUUUUCAGAAUCACCUUAGUACCAAACCAGGCCAUAGUACCCUGUGGAUAAACAAAAAUGUUACUCUUAUUACCUAUUUGUACCAUCUCUCUAAUAGAAACGGAAGCCACAUGCGUUGAUGGGGCUUAACUCUAUUAGUGAGAUGGUGGAGCUGGUGGAGGUGGAGGUUGAAGAAGAAACAACCACGGCUGAUGAGAUAUUGGAUGAGAGUUUAGGGCUUCAUGAGCCCCAGAGGCCAGUGUGUAGUGUGUACUAUGAUAAAGCAUAUUAUAACUAGCUAGAUACAUGUAUGUAAGCUUUUCAAUCAAUAUUCACAAGACAUUGACAAAUAAUAUAAAGCAUUGCUGGUAUAUUUAAUAUUUUCGUGUAGUAGUUCAUAGUUUGUUGAGUUGCCACUUCUCUCGCUUAUGUUUUUCAUUUAGCGGAUAAUUUUCAGUCGAUUGAUAAUUUUUUGAAGAAAUUAGGUUCCUAUUCCUAUUUUUUCUAUUUCAUUAAUUAAAACUCUUAUUUAUUUUCAAAUUUUUAUCAAGGUCAUUGGGUUUUAAUAAACGUCACUAGUUAUUUUAAAAUAAAAUAUUUACAUGUCAAGAUAAUUAAAUUUUAUUUUUAAAUAUAUUCAUUUAGUGUCAAAACUUUUUCUUUUGGUAUAUUUAUAUUUAUGGCUAAAAUUUUUAUCAUAUAUUUCUAUUUUGUACCCAUUUUUAGUUUGCAACCUUUUUUUAAAUUGUACCAAUUUUCUUUUAAAUUUUAAUUUGUACCCAUAUAUUAAUUUCUUUUUGUCCCUUAUUUUUUAAACUUUUAUUUGUACUCAAAAUAUUUUUAACCUUUUAUGACACACCCCGUCCCGAAGGAGGGCAUGCUGGCCGUCACGUGAGAGUGACGUAACCAUUUACACAGUACGGAAGCUUUAAGAUACAAUUUAUAAGUUGAUACACCCGAAGGUGAGUCCUAAUUUUGUCCAAUCUGUCAGAACACUGUCAAAUUCCUCGUAGUCACCACACCUUUGUGAUUCCUGAACCUGGAGGGGCGCAAAACCAAAAUUGAGUGGGUCAGUAAAACAAUUCUUUUCAAAUCCAACUUUUCUCAAAACAUUGUAACCCUUCUCCGUAAAACCUGUAUACUUUCCCAGAAAUAUAAAAUAUAAAUAUACAUAUAUAUAUUCUCAAUACUUCAAGUCAUUAACUCAACAUUUUCAUCAUAAUUAUGCCAUGCCACAUCAUCUCAACAUUUCUCAUAUUAAUUAUGCCAUGCCACAUCAUCUCAACAGUAAUA
This 4455-nucleotide long non-coding RNA is filed under the name Malus domestica (apple). RNAcentral describes it as "long non-coding RNA (MDOM_LNC007128)". Lineage: Eukaryota; Viridiplantae; Streptophyta; Magnoliopsida; Rosales; Rosaceae. The record is from RNAcentral.